GCCCGGCUCCCUCUCCCUGCCCCAGCCCCACCGAGCCCCUUCUCUCCUCCUGCUCCUCCAGGCCAUGGCUGGCAAGAUCACCCAAAUCCUGCUGGUGCUGGCCAUCCUCCAGCACGGGCUGAGGGCAGAUGCCCAGGCAGUGAAGGUCACGGAAGAGGUUCUGACACAACAUGAGGAACCGCGCAACCAGGAGAUUCCGUGGCUGGCCAAGGCUGAAAGCAUCACCAAAGUCCUGAUGGUGGCAGGCAUCUUCCAAUAUGCACUGAGCGCGGAUUUCUCAGCAGUGAAGGUCACGGAAGAGCUCCUGAAGCAGCAUGAGGAGCAGCGCAGCCAGGAGAUGGCCGAUCUGCAGAAGAUGGAGCAGAGGAUGCAGGAGCAGAGCAGACCCUCCCAGGAAGGUGUGCUCCGCUCAGUCUGCCAGCAGUGGUGGUUCUGGAAUUGUGUCGAAAUCAUCCUCACGCUCUUUGGGAUCUACUGGAUGCCCAGGCAGAAGAGAGCAGGUUCUGGCAGGGGCAGCCAGGAGAAAACCACCUGCAGUGCCCAAGAGCAGAUGGAGGAGGACAAGCCCUUGGAAAAGAGCUGGGCACUGGGCAAGAUCUGCUGAUACCACUGCAGCCAUGGAAAGCAACAGCCACAGACUGUGCCGUGCUUCCUCCUCUCCCACCUCAGGAGGCAGAGUCCAAGUCACUGCUUCUUCCACAGCCUCUGCAAAUGGUCCCAGUUGUGAUGCUCCCCCUGCCAGGAGAUGCAGAAGUGAUUUCCCCCUUGUCAAUCUGUUAAUAAAAUUGUUGAUUUGCUUUGAGAAAUCCUGUGU
Long non-coding RNA from Chloebia gouldiae (Gouldian finch), 814 nucleotides. The record is from Ensembl. Lineage: Eukaryota; Metazoa; Chordata; Aves; Passeriformes; Passeridae.